This 458-nucleotide ribosomal RNA is filed under the name uncultured bacterium. RNAcentral describes it as "bacterial SSU rRNA". It matches the Rfam family "Bacterial small subunit ribosomal RNA", at positions 340 to 789 of the family's 1533-position model. The record is from RNAcentral.
UACGGAAGGCAGCAGUGGGGAAUAUUGCACAAUGGGCGCAAGCCUGAUGCAGCCAUGCCGCGUGUAUGAAGAAGGCCUUCGGGUUGUAAAGUACUUUCAGUCGUGAGGAAGGUGUUAAGGUUAAUAACCUUAGCAAUUGACGUUAGCGACAGAAGAAGCACCGGCUAACUCCGUGCCAGCAGCCGCGGUAAUACGGAGGGUGCGAGCGUUAAUCGGAAUUACUGGGCGUAAAGGGCACGCAGGCGGUUAAUUAAGUUGGAUGUGAAAUCCCCGGGCUUAACCUGGGAAUGGCAUUCAAGACUGGUUAGCUAGAGUCUUGUAGAGGGGGUAGAAUUCCAUGUGUAGCGGUGAAAUGCGUAGAGAUGUGGAGGAAUACCGGUGGCGAAGGCGGCCCCUGGGACAAAGGACUGACGCUCAUGUGCGAAAGCGUGGGGGGCAAACAGGGAUUAGAUACCCGU